GGCGCACGGGUGAGUAAAAGGUAGGAAUCUACCCCUUGGACGGAGAUAGCUACUGGAAACGGUAGGUAAACUUCGAUAAGCCCGAGAGGGGAAAGUGGUGAGACAGCCGAGGGAUGAGCCUACUCUCCAUCAGGUAGUUGGUGAGAUAAAAGCUUACCAAGCCGAUGACGGAUAACCGGUGUGAGAGCAUGAACGGUCACAAGGGCACUGAGAGACGGGCCCUACUCCUACGGGAGGCAGCAGUGGGGAAUCUUGGACAAUGGGCGAAAGCCUGAUCCAGCGACGCCGCGUGGAGGAAGAAGUCCUUCGGGAUGUAAACUUCUGAACUAGCCGAAUAAAAGGCCUGUGGACACACAGGAGAAGAAAGUAGGCUAGGAAAAGUCCCGGCUAACUACGUGCCAGCAGCCGCGGUAAGACGUAGGGGGCAAGCGUUACCCGGAAUUACUGGGCGUAAAGGGGGCGUAGGCGGUAAAAGAAGUCAUCUGUGAAAACCUAUUGCUCAACGAUAGGCUAGCGGAUGAAACUGAAUUACUUGAGGGCACCAGAGGUAGACGGAAUUACCCGAGUAGGGGUGAAAUCCGCAGAUACGGGUAGGAACGCCGGUGGAGAAGUCGGUCUACUGGGGUGCACCAGACGCUGAGGCCCGAAAGCUAGGGGAGCAAACCGGAUUAGAUACCCGGGUAGUCCCAGCCGUAAACGAUGCUCACUAGGUGUAGGGAGUGAUAAACUCUCUGUGCUGAAGCGAACGCGCUAAGUGAGCCGCCUGGGGAGUACGUCCGCAAGGAUGAAACUCAAAGGAAUUGACGGGGGUCCGCACAAGCGGUGGAGCAUGUGGUUUAAUUCGAUGGUAACCGAAGAACCUUACCAGGGAUUGACAUGUAACUGAAGGUAGAGAAAUCUACUGGCCUGCUGCAAAGCGGGAGGUUACACAGGUGGUGCACGGCCGUCGUCAGCUCGU
RNAcentral lists this ribosomal RNA (958 nucleotides) under unidentified. Its description in RNAcentral is "bacterial SSU rRNA". It matches the Rfam family "Bacterial small subunit ribosomal RNA", at positions 97 to 1063 of the family's 1533-position model. The record is from RNAcentral.